CAUGGCUCAGGAUGAACGCUAGCGGCAGGCCUAACACAUGCAAGUCGAGGGAGAAGCCCUUCGGGGCAGAAACCGGCGCACGGGGUCGUAACGCGUAUGCAACCUACCUUUCACCGGGGGAUAGCCCGAAGAAAUUUGGAUUAAUACCCCAUAAUAUUCUUGGAUGGAAUCAUUUGAUAAUUAAAACUGCGGUGGUGAAAGAUGGGCAUGCGUCCUAUUAGCUAGUUGGAGUGGUAACGGCACACCAAGGCUACGAUAGGUAGGGGUCCUGAGAGGGAGAUCGCCCACACUGGUACUGAGACAGGGACCAGACUCCUACGG
This 321-nucleotide ribosomal RNA is filed under the name uncultured bacterium. Its description in RNAcentral is "bacterial SSU rRNA". It matches the Rfam family "Bacterial small subunit ribosomal RNA", at positions 18 to 344 of the family's 1533-position model. The record is from RNAcentral.